UACGUAGGGGGCUAGCGUUGUCCGGAAUCAUUGGGCGUAAAGCGCGUGUAGGCGGUCCGGUAAGUCCGCUGUGAAAGCCCAGAGCUCAACUCUGGAACUGCCCUUGAAACUGUAUGGCUUGAGUAUGAGAGAGGUGAGUGGAAUUCCCAGUGUAGAGGUGAAAUUCGUAGAUAUUGGGAAGAACACCGGUGGCGAAGGCGGCUCACUGGCUCAUUACUGACGCUCAGGCGCGACAGCGUGGGGAUCAAACAGG
RNAcentral lists this ribosomal RNA (253 nucleotides) under uncultured bacterium. RNAcentral's name for it is "partial 16S ribosomal RNA". It matches the Rfam family "Bacterial small subunit ribosomal RNA", at positions 524 to 776 of the family's 1533-position model. The record is from RNAcentral.